Molecule: ribosomal RNA, 423 nt
Filed under: uncultured bacterium
Lineage: Bacteria
Description: bacterial SSU rRNA
Rfam family: Bacterial small subunit ribosomal RNA
Source: RNAcentral
UAGGGAAUAUUGGACAAUGGGCGCAAGCCUGAUCCAGCCAUCCCGCGUGAAGGAUUAAGGCCCUAUGGGUUGUAAACUUCUUUUCUCUGGGAAUAAAAACCGGUAUUUAUACUGGCUUGAAGGUACCAGAGGAAUAAGCACCGGCUAACUCCGUGCCAGCAGCCGCGGUAAUACGGAGGGUGCAAGCGUUAUCCGGAUUCACUGGGUUUAAAGGGUGCGUAGGUGGUUUUGUAAGUCAGUGGUGAAAGCCCGGAGCUCAACUCCGGAACUGCCAUUGAUACUGCUUAACUUGAAUCAACUUGAGGUGGAUGGAAUAUUACAUGUAGCGGUGAAAUGCUUAGAUAUGUAAUAGAACACCGAUUGCGAAGGCAGUUCACUAAGGUUGUAUUGACACUGAGGCACGAAAGCGUGGGGAUCAAACAG